GCUCUCUUCGGAGAGUGCAUAGAGUGGCGCACGGGUGAGUAACACGUAAAUAAUCUACCCUCGAGUGGGGAAUAACGUCCGGAAACGGGCGCUAAUACCGCAUAAUGCAGCGGCACCGCAAGGUGACAGUUGUUAAAGAUUUAUUGCUUGAGGAGGAGUUUGCGGCAGAUUAGCUAGUUGGUAAGGUAAUGGCUUACCAAGGCUACGAUCUGUAUCCGGUCUAAGAGGACGGUCGGACACACUGACACUGAAUAACGGGUCAGACUCCUACGGGAGGCAGCAGUCGGGAAUUUUGGGCAAUGGGGGAAACCCUGACCCGGCAACGCCGCGUGAAGGAUGAAGUUUUUCGGAAUGUAAACUUCGAAAGAAUAGGAAGAAUUAAUGACGGUACUAUUUAUAAGGUCCGGCUAACUACGUGCCAGCAGCCGCGGUAAUACGUAGGGACCAAGCGUUGUUCGGAUUUACUGGGCGUAAAGGGCGCGUAGGCGGCGUGGUAAGUCAGUUGUGAAAUCUCCGAGCUUAACUCGGAACGGCCAACUGAUACUGCUGUGCUAGAGUGCAGAAGGGGCAAUCAGAAUUCUUGGUGUAGCGGUGAGAUGCGUAGAUAUCAAGAGGAAUACCUGAGGUGAAGACGGGUUGCUAGGCUGACACUGACGCUGAGGCGCGAAAGCCAGGGGAGCAAACGGGAUUAGAUACCCCGGUAGUCCUGGCCCUAAACGAUGAAUACUUGGUGUCUGGAGUUUUUUCGCUCCGGGUGCCGUCGCUAACGUUUUAAGUAUUCCGCCUGGGGAGUACGGUCGCAAGACUG
This 808-nucleotide ribosomal RNA is filed under the name uncultured Bacillota bacterium. Its description in RNAcentral is "bacterial SSU rRNA". It matches the Rfam family "Bacterial small subunit ribosomal RNA", at positions 72 to 896 of the family's 1533-position model. The record is from RNAcentral. Lineage: Bacteria; Bacillati; Bacillota.